UUCAAACACCGGUUCUCGUCCGAUCACCGAAGUUAAGCAAAGUAAAGCAAUGUCGAACCUGGUCAGUACCUAGAUCGGUGACCACUUGGGAAUAGUGGU
Non-coding RNA from Acanthosepion pharaonis, 99 nucleotides. The record is from the annotation of a GenBank genome assembly. Lineage: Eukaryota; Metazoa; Mollusca; Cephalopoda; Sepiida; Sepiidae.